CUCUGACCCCCAAUGCGCAAGUCAGUGGCGUCACAUCCGGGCCCCGUGACUUCCCUGGGUUCACGGCAAGGGUGGAACCGGAUUCUUCCUGGAUGGGGAUCUGGAUGGGGGUGGGGGGUUGAUUUGGGAAGCAGAGCACAGCAGCCCAAAUUUGCUUGUAAUGUCGGCGGCUACAGAGGAAAGGCCAAGAAUGGACAGAUUAAUAAAGGGCCAUCUACAAGCCACGAAUAAGGCCAUCACCAGAAGCCAACCCCGCCAGUCCUUGAUCUAGGACUUCCAGACUUCAAAACUGUGAAAAAAAUAAUAAAUUUCUGUUGUUUCAGCUACUCAGUCAAUGGCAUUUUGUUAUGGCAGCCUGAGCUGACUUAAGACAUAACUUCAGCCUGCUGGCCUGCCUUCACUGUCCUGGGGGAGGCUUGGAGAGACCAGGUGGACUGGAGUAGACUGUUGAGAGACGCUGGUCUGGUGAAGAUGUCCAGGAAACCACGAGCCUCCAGCCCAUUGUCCAACAACCACCCACCAACACCAAAGAGGCGAGGAAGUGGAAGGCAUCCUCUCAACCCUGGCCCAGAAGCCCUAUCAAAGUGAACGGCCCACCCAAGCUCUGACUCCUACCCUGUCCUCCCCUGGCACAACCCCCACCCCAGCCUGCACCAUUUCUCUAUGAAGCCCCUGUUCUCACCCCUCCUCCAUCCUCUUCCCCAAACCAGUGCCCUUCUUUGAUCUCCCUGUUUCCUUCCGGGUUCCCAAGACAACCCGGAAGGGAAAAGGGACCCGUCAAGGAAGUUCCAGGAACAAAAGGCUCUCCCUAAAAGACCACCGCUUCAAAAAAACCUGAGGAAUGGAGUGGGCCAACACUAUCCAGCCACUCUGACCAGCCGAACGAGGAACUCAAUCAAAAUGCGCCACAGCGGGACCACAAGGGCAAGGAGACCACCACCUUCUCCAGUCUCUCUUCGGGCAGCCAGUAAUUCCCGGGCAAGGCCAGAGACUUCAAGUCUAUCUGAAAAGUCUCCAGAGGUCUAACCCCAGAUAAAUAGCCAACAGGGUGUAGAGUACAUUUUACACCCCAAAGGGUGUGCCCCAUGGUGAUGAAAAUAAAGUGAACAUGUUGCAAAA
This is a long non-coding RNA of Gorilla gorilla gorilla (western lowland gorilla), 1119 nucleotides long. RefSeq lists it as uncharacterized. The transcript is spliced from 4 exons. The record is from RefSeq and is a predicted model, not a curated record. Lineage: Eukaryota; Metazoa; Chordata; Mammalia; Primates; Hominidae.